Molecule: ribosomal RNA, 494 nt
Filed under: uncultured bacterium
Lineage: Bacteria
Description: partial 16S ribosomal RNA
Rfam family: Bacterial small subunit ribosomal RNA
Source: RNAcentral
GACGAACGCUGGCGGCGUGCUUAACACAUGCAAGUCGAACGGUGAAGCGCCUUCCUUUUUGGUGGGUGUGGAUGAGUGGCGAACGGGUGAGUAACACGUGAGUAACCUGCCCCCUUCUUCUGGAUAACCGCAUGAAAGUGUGGCUAAUACGGGAUAUUCUGGGUCUGUCGCAUGAUGGGUCUGGGAAAGAUAUUGUUUCGGUGGGGGAUGGGCUCGCGGCCUAUCAGCUUGUUGGUGGGGUGAUGGCCUACCAAGGCGGUGACGGGUAGCCGGCCUGAGAGGGUGGACGGUCACACUGGGACUGAGACACGGCCCAGACUCCUACGGGAGGCAGCAGUGGGGAAUAUUGCACAAUGGGCGCAAGCCUGAUGCAGCGACGCCGCGGGAGGGAUGGAGGCCUGCGGGUUGUGAACCUCUUUCGCCAGUGAAGCAGGCCUGCCUCGUUUGUGGGUGGGUUGACGGUAGCUGGAUAAGAAGCGCCGGCUAACUACGUG